CUGGUCUCCAUCUACUCUGGGAACCUCUUGGCAUCAGUAGCAUCCCAUGGCAAGGAGUGCCACGGCUCUGCCUUCAGUUCAGCACUGCAUUUGUGUUGGUUUGAACCUUGCUGCUGUCAGCUUCAUUUGGAGUAAAGCACUGCGAGCUUUUCCCAGGUCUCAUUCCCGUGUGCACUGAAGGGAACAGAGCUGCAGCCUGUGUUCAGGAGUCCCUGGAAAUCCUACUUCUCUUGAGGGAACUCAAAUCCUGGACUCUGCAUUUCUCUUCUCUCCAGCUAAAAGGGGUUCUUUCCCCAGCUGCCUGUUCCCAAAGAAGAAACCCUGCAGAAGGGGAUGCAAACCCUGGUUCCUUUUGUCUUUGCUUUGCCCAGGAAUGCUGGCUGGACAUGGGAUCUGGAGAUUUAGAAAGGACAACAGAUGCUGAUGGAUGAGAGUGGAGCAAGCCCCGGAUGCGGUCCCAUGAGCACGCUUGGAGGCAUGAAGCAGCGACACCUCCCAUCUCGGGGAUGGGUGCUCCAUCUGAGGAAAACAAGGUACCAAAGUCCUUUAUAAGAAUGUCUUUUACAAGGUAACCAGAAAAGUGAAAUGUGUUAGGUAUGCCCUGCCAAUCAAAUGUCUCCUGAGAUCAGUUGGAUGUAGCGUGAAGGGAGGCAGGUAAUAUGACGGAAAAGAUUACCCAAGUACCAAAGCCUAUUUGCCAUGGUGAAGCAUCCCUGGAAUAGCAAGAUCCCCUGCCCAAGGGCACACAGGGGGGUUUGUGGCUGGGCUGCCAGGCAGCCAGCACUGGGCUAAGAAAGCCUUCACCAGUCCGAACCCAUCAAAUCCAAACCCCACAUCCCUAAACAUGGCUGUAGAUGAUGCCCACCUCUGCCUUGCUCCUCGCAUGACAGCUUCAUCAUUCCUAAGCGCUUUGGUUUGAAUUCAGUCAGGCUGUGAAAAUAUUCAUUUUAUCCCUAGCUCAGAUGUUGAAAUUGAAUGUCACUUAGAAGCAGAAACCCGGAAUUAUUCUGCGAGAAAAUGCUAAAAAGAGGUUCUUCAAAGUUUGGUCCAAAAAUAAAACCCAUUUUCCAG
Neopsephotus bourkii (Bourke's parrot) is the source of this 1071-nucleotide long non-coding RNA. RefSeq lists it as uncharacterized. The record is from RefSeq and is a predicted model, not a curated record. Lineage: Eukaryota; Metazoa; Chordata; Aves; Psittaciformes; Psittacidae. The transcript is spliced from 2 exons.